This 125-nucleotide small RNA is filed under the name Marmota monax (woodchuck). Lineage: Eukaryota; Metazoa; Chordata; Mammalia; Rodentia; Sciuridae. The record is from RNAcentral.
GCUGGGCGAGUUGGUGCACACCUGUAAUCCCAGAGGCUCGGGAGGCUGAGGCAGGAGGAUCACGAGUUCAAAGCCAGCCUUGGCAACAGCAAGGUGCUAAGCAACUCAGUGAGACCCUGUCUCUA